GAUGAACGCUAGCGACAGGCCUAACACAUGCAAGUCGAGGGGCAGCGGGCAUGAAGCUUGCUUCAUCUGCCGGCGACCGGCGCACGGGUGAGUAACACGUAUGCAACCUGCCCGCCACAGGGGGAUAAACGCUGGAAACGGCGCCUAAUACCCCAUACUAUCGCUAUGCUGCAUGGCAUGGCGAUGAAAACUCCGGUGGUGGCGGAUGGGCAUGCGGCGCAUUAGCUAGUUGGAGGGGUGACGGCCCACCAAGGCGACGAUGCGUAGGGGUUCUGAGAGGAAGGUCCCCCACACUGGUACUGAGACACGGACCAG
Molecule: ribosomal RNA, 315 nt
Filed under: uncultured bacterium
Lineage: Bacteria
Description: bacterial SSU rRNA
Rfam family: Bacterial small subunit ribosomal RNA
Source: RNAcentral